AAAAGUGAAAGACGGUCUUGCUGUCACUUAUAGAUGGAUCCGCGCUGCAUUAGCUAGUUGGUAAGGUAACGGCUUACCAAGGCAACGAUGCAUAGCCGACCUGAGAGGGUGAUCGGCCACACUGGAACUGAGACACGGUCCAGACUCCUACGGGAGGCAGCAGUAGGGAAUCUUCCGCAAUGGGCGAAAGCCUGACGGAGCAACGCCGCGUGAGUGAUGAAGGUCUUCGGAUCGUAAAACUCUGUUAUUAGGGAAGAACAUAUGUGUAAGUAACUGUGCACAUCUUGACGGUACCUAAUCAGAAAGCCACGGCUAACUACGUGCCAGCAGCCGCGGUAAUACGUAGGUGGCAAGCGUUAUCCGGAAUUAUUGGGCGUAAAGCGCGCGUAGGCGGUUUUUUAAGUCUGAUGUGAAAGCCCACGGCUCAACCGUGGAGGGUCAUUGGAAACUGGAAAACUUGAGUGCAGAAGAGGAAAGUGGAAUUCCAUGUGUAGCGGUGAAAUGCGCAGAGAUAUGGAGGAACACCAGUGGCGAAGGCGACUUUCUGGUCUGUAACUGACGCUGAUGUGCGAAAGCGUGGGGAUCAAACAGGAUUAGAUACCCUGGUAGUCCACGCCAUAAACGAUGAGUGCUAAGUGUUAGGGGGUUUCCGCCCCUUAGUGCUGCAGCUAACGCAUUAAGCACUCCGCCUGGGGAGUA
RNAcentral lists this ribosomal RNA (699 nucleotides) under Staphylococcus aureus. RNAcentral's name for it is "bacterial SSU rRNA". It matches the Rfam family "Bacterial small subunit ribosomal RNA", at positions 196 to 882 of the family's 1533-position model. Lineage: Bacteria; Bacillati; Bacillota; Bacilli; Caryophanales; Staphylococcaceae. The record is from RNAcentral.